CCCUUAGAUGUUCUGGGCCGCACGCGUGCUACACUGAGUGGAUCAGCGGGUCAGGUUGCGCGAAAGUGUUUCCUAAUCUUGAAAUCCGCUCGUGAUGGGGAUUGACGGUUGCAAUUUUCCGUCAUGAACGAGGAAUACCUUGUAAGCGCGGGUCAUCAUCCCGCGCUGAAUACGUCCCUGCCCUCUGUACACACCGCCCGUCGCUCCUACCGAUUGAGUGGUCCGGUGAGGCUUUGGGAUCUGAGCGGAAAGAGCGUUUCGCUGUUUCUGCUCGGAAAACUCAGUCGAACCUUAUCAUUUAGAGGAAGGAGAAGUCGUAACA
RNAcentral lists this ribosomal RNA (322 nucleotides) under uncultured eukaryote. RNAcentral's name for it is "partial 18S ribosomal RNA". It matches the Rfam family "Eukaryotic small subunit ribosomal RNA", at positions 1470 to 1796 of the family's 1831-position model. The record is from RNAcentral.